This 433-nucleotide unclassified non-coding RNA is filed under the name Hevea brasiliensis (rubber tree). Lineage: Eukaryota; Viridiplantae; Streptophyta; Magnoliopsida; Malpighiales; Euphorbiaceae. The record is from RNAcentral.
AGAGAGAGAGAGAGAGAGAGACCAAGCUAAGUGAUACUUCAAGAAAUAAACAUACAUCACGCAUUGACUUGACAUCUGGGUUCUGCUCUUGAAAAUCCUCACCUCAAGAAAGUAAAAUUCAGUUAGCAUUAGCAGUGAAAAAAAUUUUUGUGGUUGUACACAUAUCAAACAAAACCAGUCAGUAGUAAACUAGAACUUACAGGAACAAGUUCAACUAAGGCAAUACUGAUGAUUUUCCACAUACAUGCUUAAGAAUAGCAAUGAAAAGCAGGAUUAGAAAAGUGUACGAAAUAGGAAUGUACGAUAUGAGAUAGAGCCCAACAAAUUAGGUUCAAGUUGUGACAUGAAAUUAGCUAAUUGUUGAUAAAUGUAGUGGGAAGACCAAAAAUUAAUAAUGUUAAUGUUGUGCACCGUAGAUAAACUGUAAAGAAAU